CCAAGCUACGAAGAGCCAAUGGUGAAUGCCUUGGCGCCGAACACCGAUGAAGGACGUGAUAGGCUGCGAUAAGCCACGGGGAGCCGCCGAAUAGGCUUUGAUCCGUGGAUAUCCGAAUGGGGAAACCCGGCACCUUUUAUCGGGUGUCACUCCUGCCUGAAUCUAUAGGGCAGGUAGAGGGAACGAGGGGAAUUGAAACAUCUCAGUACCCUGAGGAAAAGAAAGCAACAGCGAUUCCCGGAGUAGCGGCGAGCGAAAUGGGAAGAGCCUAAACCGAAUCCGGUGGUAAAGCCUGGUGGCGUUGCCGGAUCGGUGUUGUGGGACAUCCCCGACCGAGCACCAGAUCGGUCAAGGAGUUACAAAGCAGGCAGAUAGCGGAACCGUACAGGAAAGGCGGGCCGCAGAGGGUGACAGCCCCGUACGCGAAAUCUGCUUGCCUCCUGGGAUUGCUCCCGAGUAGCGCCGGUUCCGUGAAGGCCGGCGUGAAUCUGCGAGGACCACCUCGUAAGGCUAAAUAUGUGUCGGCGACCGAUAGCGAACUAGUACCGUGAGGGAAAGGUGAAAAGUACCCCGGGAGGGGAGUGAAAUAGUACCUGAAACCGUUGGUUUACAAGCAGUCAGAGCGUCGUCUCAACCGAUGAUCUUCGGAUCGUCAAUCAGAGAUCGCGAUGGCGUGCCUUUUGAAGAAUGAGCCAACGAGUUACGGUAUGUGGCGAGAUUAACCUGUGAAGGGAAGUCGGAGCGAAAGCGAGUCAUAACUGGGCGUACAGUCGCAUGCCGUAGACCCGAAGCCGGGUGAUCUAUCCAUGGGCAGUGUGAAGCGGGGGUAAGACUCCGUGGAGGCGCGAACCGACCUAGGUUGAAAACUGGGCGGAUGACCUGUGGAUAGGGGUGAAAGGC
This 900-nucleotide ribosomal RNA is filed under the name Acidimicrobiia bacterium. RNAcentral's name for it is "partial 23S ribosomal RNA". It matches the Rfam family "Bacterial large subunit ribosomal RNA", at positions 3 to 829 of the family's 2925-position model. The record is from RNAcentral. Lineage: Bacteria; Bacillati; Actinomycetota; Acidimicrobiia.